This 142-nucleotide ribosomal RNA is filed under the name uncultured Nitrobacter sp. RNAcentral's name for it is "partial 16S ribosomal RNA". It matches the Rfam family "Bacterial small subunit ribosomal RNA", at positions 359 to 524 of the family's 1533-position model. The record is from RNAcentral. Lineage: Bacteria; Pseudomonadati; Pseudomonadota; Alphaproteobacteria; Hyphomicrobiales; Nitrobacteraceae.
CCGUAUAUGGGGCGCAGCCUGAUCCAGCCAUGCCGCGUGAGUGAUGAAGGCCCUAGGGUUGUAAAGCUCUUUUGUGCGGGAAGAUAAUGACGGUACCGCAAGAAUAAGCCCCGGCUAACUUCGUGCCAGCAGCCGCGGUAAU